Molecule: long non-coding RNA, 2543 nt
Organism: Parus major (Great Tit)
Lineage: Eukaryota; Metazoa; Chordata; Aves; Passeriformes; Paridae
Exons: 2
Source: RefSeq, a predicted model, not a curated record
CUUCCCGCACCUUCCCUUCCCAUUUUCUAUAGACUAAACCCACAUGUCACCUCAUGUGAGAGCUGCAGAUAUCCUUACAGGUGUUGGCUCAGAGAAGAAUUUGCUAAUAAAUAUUAUUCUGUUAAUUAUAUAUCUACCACGAGUUUUCCUAAAAUACCAGAUGCUGUCAUGUAAACACCACAGUUAUCUAGAUAGGUUAUCUCACACCCUGCCUCCCCCUCUUUCCCAUUUGUCUCCAUCUUGUGAUGCCCCACAUGCCCAUGGAUGCUUGGGACAGCACAGCUCUGGAGCUGAAAGGUAGAAGGGGAGCUACUGGGUGCAACUCAGAAAAGAAAUGAUGCAACUCUUAGAAAUUAAUGAUGAUGUAGUAGCAAGUAGGGCAAGAUUGUUUUGAAACAGGAAUUAAUUAUUAUUGCAUACUAAGCUGGAUAUGCAUCCAGGUUGAGACGCACGGAGUGGGUGGGCUGCACUCAGCUGGGAGGAGCGGGGCAGGCAGCCAGCCCCAGACAAUGUGUGUGUUUGUGUGCCUGGUGGCAAGCAAAUCCAUCACCCCCUUCGGAGAGUACUGCAAAUGGGAGUGGGGUCUGCCAGAUGGCAGACAUCCGGAAAGGCACAAGGAAAUAGCACAGCGUGACUGCAUCGUGCGUGGCAGCGAGCACUCUGGGGCUGUCCACAGAUGGAAAUGUGCAAAUCACAGCCCUGGGCAGAGCUCAGGCAACACUGACAAAGUCUGACCCCAACUCCCCAGACUCCUCUGAGAAACUGAAAAAUCGGGAUGACAGUCCAGAUCAAUCUCAUCUUCUAAGGUUGUCCAGAUCUGGAGGAAAUGGCAUGCCUAGAUGUGGCUGAGCUGAUCUUGGUGCAGGGCACACAGAAGGGCUGUAGGAAGACAAACUGAUUGACAGCUCAUUAGUUCUGGAGCUAAUUAGAGUCUGGAUUAUAAUAUGAAGCGUUUUUCUCUCUAUAAACCUGUCUAUGCACUAGAAAGAAUAAAAUUCCAAAAUGAGAAAGCACAAGGAAUGCAAGUAUGUUCCUUUUUCCACCCCCAGCCUCCUUUGCUAGUCACUCUCCCUCAGCAGCCACAGGAUAAGGUAUCCUAGAGCAGCUGAAUGCCAAUGUGGGAUAGGGAGGGGGAACUUUUAUGUAGCUGUUUUCUCAGUUGCAUCAUGCUACUGCUCCCAAAAAUGGAAUUCCAUGAAAUGAAGACAAGAAUGACUGGAAGAAAGCUUUUUCUUUAUUUAUUUAUUUUUUAAUUUGGUUUUAGUUUGUUCUGAGUUUUUCAUUGUGGGUUUUGGUUUUUUUUUUUCUGUACAGCAUACAGUCUGUAUUUAACUAAGUUUCUUGCUUCUUUACAAAACUUUUUUGUCUUUUUUUCCCUCUAAAGGCAGGCUGAGGAAAUAUCAACAUGGGAUUCAUGCCUGUGUCCUCCUCCCCUGCCAGGCCUGACUCAGUUCAGCACAAAGAUGAAGCAUCUCAGCUCAACUUCUUACAGUAUGAACUUAAAGAAGCUGCUGCUGGAUAUGCAUUAUGAUGCUCAAGCCACACCUUAGGUUUGCCAUCAACCAAGUGCCUUCACCUCCCAGGCCCGCUACAAAGCCUCUCUUUUUCUCAGCACUGACGGAGGGUUUCCUCUCUGUGCAAAAGCUUGAAUUGCUCACGUAGCAAACACAUCCUCCAUGGAACCAGCAGCGUGGGGAGAGAUGAAAUGGGCCUCUGGGAGCUCAGGACUGAACCAAGCCUGGAUGUCUGCCUGUGUGUGUUGGCACACAGGACACCUCGCUCCAUCCAGCUGGGGUCCAACACCUGUGAACUGGUAUGUGGCUUUACUAAAAAUGAAGAAAGAGCCAAAAGGAUUCUACCUUUAAACAUGCCAUGGUUGGAACACAGUGGGAUUAAGGAGAAAAAGAUAUAAAUUUUCCUUUUUCAAAGACAUUUCUUUACUAUCUAUUGGUAGCAAGUGCUUCCAUCAACACUGAGACAGCUCCCCAACCUAACCUAUCAAUGGUCCACUUACUGCAUAGAAUAAAUACAUCCUCCUUUCUGAGGUAAUUGGAUGUAUUAAUAAAGCAAACAACAACCAAAUCAUAGAAGUGAGCUCAAAACACUGCUCCUGGCUUGGUUUCUGCUGGGGCCACACUGUAGAUGUGAUGAACUCAGUCCCUUUCCCUUGGUUUUUCAUCUGCUGAGAACAUGUCUUGGGGUGCCAGAAAUGCCAAAGAAGCUGUUUAAGUCUUCCUUGAAGGCUGCAUCCCAAAAUAAACCCCCUGUCUUCAGGAGAACAUUACUCACUGCUGUUGAGGGAGAUUUUAGGUCAUUAAGAUUCAAUGAGUAAUAUGUUUGAAAAUGCAAUUUAGAAGUUUUUCAAUCAUUCAUGAAAACCCUUUCGAUGCAGAAUAAAGCUUGAUAAUGUUUGUGAUUGUGCCUUGCCCUGAUGAAAGAUCUGAAUGGAAACUUGUACAGUAGGUAAUAUUUAUUCUGGCAGUGUGUCAGUAGGCAAUGUCUACUGCUUUUAUUGCUUUGUGGAAUAAAAGUUUUGAAUUUUG